UUACGGGAGGCAGCAGUCGAGAAUUUUUCACAAUGGGCGCAAGCCUGAUGGAGCGACGCCGCGUGGGGGAUGAAGGGUUUCGAUCCGUAAACCCCUGUCAUUUGCGAACAAACCUUGAAGGCUAACACCUUUCAAGUUGAUUGUAGUGAAAGAGGAAGGGACGGCUAACUCUGUGCCAGCAGCCGCGGUAAUACAGAGGUCCCAAGCGUUGUUCGGAUUCACUGGGCGUAAAGGGUGCGUAGGUGGCCAGGUAAGUUUGGUGUGAAAGCUCGGAGCUCAACUCCGAAAAGUCAUUGAAUACUAUCUGGCUGGAGGGUCGGAGGGGAGACUGGAAUUCUCGGUGUAGCAGUGAAAUGCGUAGAUAUCGAGAGGAACACCAGUGGCGAAGGCGAGUCUCUGGACGACUCCUGACACUGAGGCACGAAAGCUAGGGGAGCAAACAGGAUUAGAUACCCCGGUAGG
This 462-nucleotide ribosomal RNA is filed under the name uncultured bacterium. Its description in RNAcentral is "bacterial SSU rRNA". It matches the Rfam family "Bacterial small subunit ribosomal RNA", at positions 339 to 794 of the family's 1533-position model. The record is from RNAcentral.